ACACGUAGUUUGACUCCUGGCUCAAGAACGAACGCUGGCGGCAUGCCUAACACAUGCAAGUCGAACGAGACCUUCGGGUCUAGUGGCGCACGGGUGCGUAACACGUGGGAAUUUGCCUCGGGGUAUGGAAUAACUCAGGGAAACUUGAGCUAAUACCAUAUAAUGUCUUCGGACCAAAGAUUUAUCGCCCUGAGAUAAGCCCGCGUAGGAUUAGCUAGUUGGUGGGGUAAAGGCUCACCAAGGCGACGAUCCUUAGCUGGUCUGAGAGGAUGAUCAGCCACACUGGGACUGAGACACGGCCCAGACUCCUACGGGAGGCAGCAGUGGGGAAUAUUGGACAAUGGGCGAAAGCCUGAUCCAGCAAUGCCGCGUGAGUGAUGAAGGCCUUCGGGUUGUAAAGCUCUUUUACUCGGGACGAUAAUGACGGUACCGAGAGAAUAAGCCCCGGCUAACUCCGUG
This 459-nucleotide ribosomal RNA is filed under the name uncultured bacterium. RNAcentral's name for it is "bacterial SSU rRNA". It matches the Rfam family "Bacterial small subunit ribosomal RNA", at positions 1 to 507 of the family's 1533-position model. The record is from RNAcentral.